AUUGAACGCCGGCGGCAUGCCUUACACAUGCAAGUCGAACGGUAACGCGGGGCAACCUGGCGACGAGUGGCGAACGGGUGAGUAAUGCAUCGGCACGUGCCCGGUAGUGGGGGAUAACUGCUCGAAAGAGCAGCUAAUACCGCAUACGACCUGAGGGUGAAAGGGGGGGAUCGCAAGACCUCUCGCUAUCGGCGCGGCCGAUGUCGGAUUAGCUAGUUGGUGGGGUAAAAGCCCACCAAGGCGACGAUCCGUAGCUGGUCUGAGAGGACGACCAGCCACACUGGGACUGAGACACGGCCCAGACUCCUACGGGAGGCAGCAGUGGGGAAUUUUGGACAAUGGACGCAAGUCUGAUCCAGCCAUGCCGCGUGCGGGAAGAAGGCCUUCGGGUUGUAAACCGCUUUUGUCAGGGAAGAAAUCUUCUGAGUUAAUACCUCGGGAGGAUGACGGUACCUGAAGAAUAAGCACCGGCUAACUACGUGCCAGCCGCCGCCGUAA
RNAcentral lists this ribosomal RNA (498 nucleotides) under uncultured bacterium. Its description in RNAcentral is "partial 16S ribosomal RNA". It matches the Rfam family "Bacterial small subunit ribosomal RNA", at positions 29 to 523 of the family's 1533-position model. The record is from RNAcentral.